This is a long non-coding RNA of Eupeodes corollae, 3322 nucleotides long. RefSeq lists it as uncharacterized. The record is from RefSeq and is a predicted model, not a curated record. Lineage: Eukaryota; Metazoa; Arthropoda; Insecta; Diptera; Syrphidae. The transcript has 3 exons.
CCUGGGGCACACCAGCAUUUAUUUUGUGGUUUUCAGACUUAAAUCCAUCCAAUACAACUUUUAUUGAAUGACUCGAAAGGUAAUCACUAAUCCAAUGAAGGAGGGAUUCGUGAAAACCGAAAGCACGCAUUUUUGAUAAGAGAGCCUGAUGCCAAAGCCUAUCAAAUGCUUUUGAAAUAUCUAGUGCAAUAAUCUUAUUUUCUCCAAAACUAUGUAAAGAUUUGUUAAACUGUUCGGUGAGAUAAACCAUGAGAUCACCAGUGAACCUAUUGCUACGAAAGCCAUACUGUCGGUCAUUAAGUAGCUUUGGUUCCUCAAGAUAUUUUUUGAGCUGAUAAGAAAUCAGUGUUUUCAUUACCUUGGAAAGAAGGGACGUAAGUGCAAUCGGUCGGUAAUUAUACGGUGAAGAGGAUUCGCUUUUUUUGGGGAAUAGGCUAUACAAAUGCGGUUUUCCAUUCGCUCGGAACGAGACCUGAGGAGUAGGACAGAUGAAAAAGCUUACGCAGUGGUUUUGGCAGCGAUUAAGAACACCUCUUCAGAACAAUAGCAGGCAUACCAUCCGGACCAGAAGAUUUAUGUAUGUUAAGAUCUUUUAGGACUCUCGCUACAGUACGAGUGCGAAAAAAGAUUUGCCCCAUAGAAUCAUUAACUCGAGCAUGUACAGGCGGAGUCAUAACACUCUCUGGCAGCGUUGAAUUGGCGGCGAUCUGCCUAGCAAAGAGAUUUGCUUUCUCUAAGGAGCUAACAAAUGAACUGUCAUUGACAAAUGACCAAAAAUUUGUACUGCCUUUGGAACAUUGCAGUAUUUUUUGCCGUAAUUUUCGGUCAUGUAAAAAUUUGGUCCGUCGAAUAGGGGCGUUGUAGGCCUUCCUGGCUUGCUUGAACCUAUUCCGGUUUUCCUCAGUUGGAUUGGCUUUAAAACAACGAAAACUUACCUUCUGACCCUAAUAACCUCUUUACAGCUUGCAUCGAACCAUGCGUAUUCCUUAGGUCUAAUGCUUUUAACCCUAUUCGGGAUAAAAGUUCUCAUUCCCAGGAGAAUGAAACUUGUGAUCAUAUCAGCGCUGGCGUCAACGUCACUAUCGAGGAAGCAUAGUGACCAGUUAAAGAACCUGAAGUAAUUAUUGAGACCGUCCUUUCUCGUAUUGCCAAACGGUUCUCUUAGGAGCUCUUUCUUUAACUGGAGAGUUUUUACACGAGCAACUUGCUGAUAUGACACAAUGGUCAGAUGUGCCUAGAGGAGAUAGAACACUAAUAGUGUAUUUACCAGGGUCAGCGGUAAGAAACAAGUCAAGAGUGUUUUCUGCUAGACCUACCACGUCCGAUAUUCGAGUGGGCUCUUUGACCAGCUGAGUUAGGUGGUUUAACUCAGCGAAGAUCUCAGCACACACCCCUUCUGGUGUUGACUGGCCCGCAUGUUGAAGCCAUGAAGAAUUGUGUACAUUGAAAUCGCCCGUAACAACGAUUUAAGUGCGAGGAUAGGACGAAACAGUUCUUUGGAUGGAAUCAGACAAAGCAUCAAAUUCACGAGAAGUUGACACUCUGUCUAGAUUUGCUUAUUUACUUAAAAUUUAAACCACAUAAAAUUGAAAAAGAAUUGGUGCCGAGACAAUAUUGUGCCAAAAACUGAUAAGCAACAUCAUUCCUAAUGUAUAUGGCGAGAGCAUGGUGGGAAAAGAAUAAUGGCACCAAGUUAUACCCUUGAAUAAAGAAUUCAGUGGGAUCGGAAUCCUCACCGCCUUGGUUUUCACUUAGUGCCAAUGCAGCUGGGCUGUUUAAAGCAGUAUGGGAGUACAUAGAAAGAAAAUUCGCCCUAAGUCUACGAAUAUUACAAUAAUAUACCCUGAAAUUUUAAAGCCAUUGCAAAUAAAAGAAUAACAAAAACCAAAACAGACGAAGACUAUACGAAAAAUAUUACUGAGUUGAACUACGGAAUGCUAUUCGAUACACGCCACUACUAGUGUUAUGCCUUAGUAGUGACAAAAAUCGAAUCCGGCUCUGUUAAUGGAAAACAGUAAAAUUUUUGUUGUCAACAAUCUGCUAUCAACGAUGACGUAGUCUGUGUAUCAAUUGCAUUAGUUAUUGAACACAAUGCAAUUUGAUACACAUGCUAAGCCAUGCGACUGUACGAGAAAAGAGGAAAGUGAAGGAUGGUACUCACUGUGCUAUGUUGAGUUGGCUCAUCAUGAUAUGAAUUAUUUUUUUGUUGGUUGUUUGUUGUUUUUGUUAUAUUGUAGUUGAUUUGGUGUGGCGUGGUUUAUUGUUUUUUUAUUUUUUGUUGUUUUUUUUCAUCACUGUUAAUAUUUAUUUGAUUUGCUAUUUUUUUGCUAUUUUUCUAUCUGUUCUAUUAAAUUCUAUGUCUCAAUAGUGAACUGUUAUAUUUUACAAAACGGUCUAAAAAAGUUUGGGUAUUGGUUCAAUAUUCAGUGCCUACUUUUGUAUAGGUAUAUGGACAGGUGUACUACAUUGUGUUUUACACUUAAGAACAAUCUGCUUGUCUUUAUAGCAUAAACUCGUCACCUUUAUGUAAUUUGUUUAUUUUUAGUAGAUCUAACUAUGGGGUAGAAGCAUUGAAUUAUUACAAAUAGAAGUGGACACCGAACAUUGCUCAAACGACCAGCGACUUAGGAGCAUCCAGCUGAAACACAUCGGAUGAAACAAAACGUGCUUUAUUCGAAUGAUAAUGAAAGGCACUCUAUUUAAAGACCGGAAACCAAUCUGUCAUUCUGGUUUGCCUACAAGCUAGUAUCAAUUCUAAACUACUAAUUGAUUCACCACUGCAAUAGUCAAUGCACCACUGUUAAAGUCAAUUCACCACGAAUUGAUGAGAAAAUACGAAGAAUGAAUUGUAUGGUGCUUACCUGACCUUAAAUGGACAAUUUUGUUGCAGCAUUGGUUGAUAAGGAAAAAUGUUUUAAAUCUUAUGCAGAAUAUAGGAAUAAUACAUUAAAUCGGAUGGGCCUGAAAAGUGUGUUAUACAGCAAAAAGAUUUUUUGGAUCGGCUCUAACAGCAUUUUAAACGCAUACACGUUUUAGCUUGAUAUCCAAUUAUUUCAAAAUGAAGAAGAUAAGCAAUAAGCAAUCUAAAAUAUUCGUUACAAUAGCAGAAUUAUGCCGUGUUUUUAAUAUAAAUAGCAAGAACUUUUAUUUACAAUUUUGUUAACUUUGAAAAAUAAUAUAUGCAAUUUUUUUUAUUAUGCACUUUCGUUGCGUUUGAGUUUGAAAUCAUGGCGGAAUGUUCAUAUGCGAGGUGUCUUCAAGAACGACGUUACAUCAAACGUGAACUAAUGAAAUGGUCAAAAGAUAUGCUGUACAUUUUUGG